UACGGGGGGUGCAAGCGUUAUUCGGAAUCACUGGGCGUAAAGGGCGCGUAGGCGGCUCCUUAAGUCAGACGUGAAAGCCCGGGGCUAAACUCCGGAAGUGCGUCCGAAACUGAGGUGCUUGAGUACGGGAGAGGGAAGUGGAAUUCCUGGUGUAGAGGUGAAAUUCGUAGAUAUCAGGAGGAACACCAGUGGCGAAGGCGGCUUCCUGGACCGAUACUGACGCUGAGGCGCGAAAGCGUGGGGAGCAAACAGG
Molecule: ribosomal RNA, 253 nt
Filed under: uncultured bacterium
Lineage: Bacteria
Description: partial 16S ribosomal RNA
Rfam family: Bacterial small subunit ribosomal RNA
Source: RNAcentral